GAUGAAGAACGCAGCGAAAUGCGAUACGUAAUGUGAAUUGCAGAAUUCAGUGAAUCAUCGAAUCUUUGAACGCAUAUUGCGCUCUUUGGUAUUCCGAAGAGCAUGCUUGUUUGAGUAUCAGUAAACACCUCAAAGCUUUUGGAUUUUUUAAUCGAAAAGCUUUGGACUUGAGCAAUCCCAACACCAAUCUUUUUGAGAUCGGUGGCGGGUUGCUUGAAAUGCAGGUGCAGCUGGACAUUCUCCUGAGCUAAAAGCAUAUUCAUUUAGUCCCGUCAAACGGAUUAUUACUUUUGCUGCAGCUAACAUAAAGGGAGUUUGACCGUAUUGGCUGACUGAUGCAGGAUUUCACAAGGGUCGGCAACGAUUCUUGUUAAACUCGAUCUCAAAUCAAGUAAGACUGCCCGCUGAACUUAAGCAUAUCAAUAAGCGGAGGA
Molecule: unclassified non-coding RNA, 434 nt
Filed under: soil metagenome
Description: partial contains 5.8S ribosomal RNA, internal transcribed spacer 2, and large subunit ribosomal RNA
Rfam family: 5.8S ribosomal RNA (bases 1-120)
Source: RNAcentral